GGCCCGAAGCUUGCUUCGGNCACCUUAGUGGCGAACGGGUGAGUAACGCGUGGGAACCUGCCCUAUGGUGGGGAAUAACAGCUGGAAACGGCUGCUAAUACCGCAUACGCUCUACGGAGGAAAGGCUUCGGCCGCCGUUGGAGGGUCCCGCGUCCGAUUAGCUUGUUGGUGAGGUAAUGGCUCACCAAGGCAACGAUCGGUAGCUGGUCUGAGAGGAUGAUCAGCCACACUGGGACUGAGACACGGCCCAGACUCCUACGGGAGGCAGCAGUGGGGAAUAUUGGACAAUGGGGGAAACCUUGAUCCAGCAAUGCCGCGUGAGUGAAGAAGGCCUUAGGGUUGUAAAACUCUUUCACCCGUGAAGAUGAUGACGGUAGCGGGAGAAGAAGCUCCGGCUAACUCCGUGCCAGCAGCCGCGGUAAUACGGAGGGGGCAAGCGUUGCUCGGAAUUACUGGGCGUAAAGCGCGCGUAGGCGGCACAUCCAGUCAGGCGUGAAAGCCCCGGGCUCAACCUGGGAAUUGCGUUUGAUACUGGUGUGCUAGAAUCCGGGAGAGGGUAGUGGAAUUCCCAGUGUAGAGGUGAAAUUCGUAGAUAUUGGGAAGAACACCAGUGGCGAAGGCGGCUACCUGGCUCGGUAUUGACGCUGAGGUGCGAAAGCGUGGGGAGCGAACAGGAUUAGAUACCCUGGUAGUCCACGCCGUAA
This 704-nucleotide ribosomal RNA is filed under the name uncultured Alphaproteobacteria bacterium. Its description in RNAcentral is "SSU rRNA". It matches the Rfam family "Bacterial small subunit ribosomal RNA", at positions 70 to 805 of the family's 1533-position model. The record is from RNAcentral. Lineage: Bacteria; Pseudomonadati; Pseudomonadota; Alphaproteobacteria.